CAGGUGCCUGUGAGAUCAGAGAGGAGGGUGAAGAUGGCUAUUCAUAAUUAGUCUGCAGUUCCAGCUAUUUUUAUUGCUAUACUCGCUGCCAAAAAGGUCUCUCCAUUUAGAAACCAACAUGCCUCUAUAUGACCCUGUUCCAGAGUCCUUCUUUUGACAAGGAAGAAGAGUAAGGUGUUGGCUUGGUGUCAACAGCAGGUUUUAAAGUCAUCAGCAACAGGAAGCACCAAAGAGAUUUGAGCCCUCUUUAACAUUUACGUUUGCUGUUCCAGUUCAGCAACCUGAAGUACAAACCAGAUUCAGACUCGAGUCUCGCCCUUAAUUAGAAGUAAAUGUUACUGCAAAGCCAGGUAGCAGGAUGUUUUAGGAUAUCAACUGAAUGACUAGGAGAACAUAAACUCUGAUUUUAGGUAGAAAAAUAAAGUUCUGGACUUCUGUUUA
Long non-coding RNA from Columba livia (rock pigeon), 441 nucleotides. RefSeq lists it as uncharacterized. The transcript is spliced from 2 exons. NCBI's taxonomy places the organism in Eukaryota, Metazoa, Chordata, Aves, Columbiformes, Columbidae. The record is from RefSeq and is a predicted model, not a curated record.